Triticum aestivum (bread wheat) is the source of this 1731-nucleotide long non-coding RNA. RefSeq lists it as uncharacterized. The record is from RefSeq and is a predicted model, not a curated record. The transcript has 3 exons. NCBI's taxonomy places the organism in Eukaryota, Viridiplantae, Streptophyta, Magnoliopsida, Poales, Poaceae.
CCAUCCCUCUCCCUUUCCCUUACCUGCCGCCGCCGCCACCCCUUCUCUCCAACCCUCAGCUGCUCCUCCAGCCUUGCACCACCCCACGUGACCGGCCCGAGCAGGGCUGGUGUACCUCGCCCUUGCCUUCCUUUGAUUUGGAGAGAGAUGGCGACGGCGGCGGCUCGACGGGAGGCGCGGCAGAGUAAGCUCGUGCAGGUGGUGGUGGUGAUGGGAACUUGUUCGUUCGAUUUGGAGCAGCAGGAAACCUCCAUGGACGAGGACGACGGAAGAAGGUGCCUUGGUCGACGUGGUCUACGCCGGUGUGGUGCAGCCGAGCUCCACGUCUUGUACGCCGUGGCCUGCGCCGGUGUGGGCGACCUCCUGCUCGGGUAAGCAGCACCCCCUCUCUCUGUUAUUCGUCGCCACCCGUCCACCCGACGAACGAGAGAUGCACGACAGAGAUGCACACGCUCUUCCCUGUGGGAUGACGGUGGUGUUCUUCCUCCAACCAAAUUCCAGCCCCUCGAUACUAAGUCAGAUUCAGGUUCGCUCUUCACCAAUUUGAUGCCAAAUAUUCUUGUUUGGUUGAGGUGGUGAUCAAGGGGUGGAAUUAGUUGAUGCGUACUCCCUCCGUCCGGAAAUACUUGUCGGAGAAAUGGAUGUAUCUAGACAUGUUUUAGUUCUAGAUACACCCAUUUUUAUCCAUUUUUUCGACAAGUAUUUUCGGACGGAGGGAGUACAAUUUAUUAACACAGCCCCACAGCAGCGAGUGCUUAUGGCAACGACGAUGACAAAGAAAGCUGACUGCUACUUCUGGAGUACUACUGGAUGAUGCUUUGUACAGCAGCAACACACACGUACUCGACCUCCUAUUCGAAUUUCAAUCCUUGGACAGAGUUGGUUCCAAUAACUUGGACACUCACGUACACAACAGCCUCUGCUGAUUGAUUCUGUGGCCGGCCAAAAAACGCUGUGCACGGAAACAAAAUCAAUUGGACUGCCACAGAAUGCAAAUGACGGAAGAACUCUGACAAGUUCAACAAAGGCUUUGGCUAUGGCGGAUGGGAUCACUAUGGUGUGUUUCCUCUCAGGGGUAAAUUAUUAAAUGUGAGAGAAGCAAGCCAUAAGCAGUUAAUGGAGAAUGCAGAGAUCCAAAAUAUAAAGAAAAUAUUAGGUCUGCAACAUGAAAAGAAGUAUGAUAGCACGAAAUGCUUGAGAUAUGACCACCUUAUGAUAGUGACAGAUUAGGUUUGCCUGACAAACUUUUCAGGUAAUUUCUUCCGACACAGCAAGAUUGUUCGGUUGGUUCUGGUUUUUCUUUUGUGAAAUUUUGAGCAAGGUUGUUGUAUGUGACUGUGUGAAUAUUGGUGUGAAAUCAGAUGUGUUGUGUUGCGCACUUUUAAACCACAUGAAAUUAAGUGGGCUUGUUACUGUAUUAAAAUGCAGUGAUCUACACAGAAAGAAUAGACACCAUGCAGUUUUAGAAGUGGGACAACAGAUAGUGUGUUAGAUGGAUUGAACAGCUGCAACUAUAUGUAAAGAAAAGUGACUGCAUGCAAGAAAAGUUAUGCAUGACUAUGGCAUGACAAAAAAUAAUAACAUAAAACCGUUCAAAUAUAUUGUUAAACCAAAAUAACAAGUUCAUUACGAAGUCUCUGACUCCCUAAUAAUAUCACAUGAUCGUAACAGAUUUCAUAAGAAACUCAUUACUGAAUAUAGCAUAUAGUUCUCAUCAUGUGUUUGCUCUUA